CAACUUAGAGCUUGUUAAGCAUCUUAUUUACAUUAAGAAGAAAAUUUUGAAAUUUAAGUUGA
This 62-nucleotide transfer RNA is filed under the name Hippodamia undecimnotata. RNAcentral describes it as "tRNA-Val". The record is from RNAcentral. Lineage: Eukaryota; Metazoa; Arthropoda; Insecta; Coleoptera; Coccinellidae.